RNAcentral lists this ribosomal RNA (253 nucleotides) under uncultured bacterium. RNAcentral's name for it is "partial 16S ribosomal RNA". It matches the Rfam family "Bacterial small subunit ribosomal RNA", at positions 524 to 776 of the family's 1533-position model. The record is from RNAcentral.
UACGGAGGGGGCUAGCGUUGUUCGGAAUUACUGGGCGUAAAGCGCACGUAGGCGGAUUGGAAAGUCAGGGGUGAAAUCCCGGGGCUCAACCCCGGAACUGCCUUUGAAACUCCCAGUCUAGAGGUCGAGAGAGGUGAGUGGAAUUCCGAGUGUAGAGGUGAAAUUCGUAGAUAUUCGGAGGAACACCAGUGGCGAAGGCGGCUCACUGGCUCGAUUCUGACGCUGAGGUGCGAAAGCGUGGGGAGAAAACAGG